UACGUAGGGUGCAAGCGUUAAUCGGAAUUACUGGGCGUAAAGCGUGCGCAGGCGGUUUUGUAAGUCUGACGUGAAAUCCCCGGGCUUAACCUGGGAAUUGCGUUGGAGACUGCAAGGCUGGAGUCUGGCAGAGCGGGGUAGAAUUCCACGUGUAGCAGUGAAAUGCGUAGAGAUGUGGAGGAACACCGAUGGCGAAGGCAGCCCCCUGGGUCAAGACUGACGCUCAUGCACGAAAGCGUGGGGAGCAAACAGG
This 253-nucleotide ribosomal RNA is filed under the name uncultured bacterium. RNAcentral describes it as "partial 16S ribosomal RNA". It matches the Rfam family "Bacterial small subunit ribosomal RNA", at positions 524 to 776 of the family's 1533-position model. The record is from RNAcentral.